Molecule: ribosomal RNA, 465 nt
Filed under: Vreelandella stevensii
Lineage: Bacteria; Pseudomonadati; Pseudomonadota; Gammaproteobacteria; Oceanospirillales; Halomonadaceae
Description: partial 16S ribosomal RNA
Rfam family: Bacterial small subunit ribosomal RNA
Source: RNAcentral
CCUACGGGGGGCAGCAGUGGGGAAUAUUGGACAAUGGGGGGAACCCUGAUCCAGCCAUGCCGCGUGUGUGAAGAAGGCCCUCGGGUUGUAAAGCACUUUCAGUGAGGAAGAACGCCUGGUGGUUAAUACCCAUCAGGAAAGACAUCACUCACAGAAGAAGCACCGGCUAACUCCGUGCCAGCAGCCGCGGUAAUACGGAGGGUGCGAGCGUUAAUCGGAAUUACUGGGCGUAAAGCGCGCGUAGGUGGCUUGAUAAGCCGGUUGUGAAAGCCCCGGGCUCAACCUGGGAACGGCAUCCGGAACUGUCAAGCUAGAGUGCAGUAGAGGAAGGUAGAAUUCCCGGUGUAGCGGUGAAAUGCGUAGAGAUCGGGAGGAAUACCAGUGGCGAAGGCGGCCUUCUGGACUGACACUGACACUGAGGUGCGAAAGCGUGGGUAGCAAACAGGAUUAGAUACCCCUGUAGUC